Molecule: non-coding RNA, 467 nt
Organism: Ciona intestinalis (vase tunicate)
Lineage: Eukaryota; Metazoa; Chordata; Ascidiacea; Phlebobranchia; Cionidae
Source: RefSeq, a predicted model, not a curated record
AAAGCUUUUUGAAAAUCUUUUGAUUAAUCUAUAAAUUGUGACUAAUUGAAAAUAAAUAAAACCUGAUUAACAAAUUCUCGACCCUGGUCUGUUGUUUUGCGUUGUGAUGGACCAUACAGGGCCAAUUUGCUGAUCAGACAAGUUACUACUGUCAAGCACACAUUUCACAUUGGGACUCUAUAAAUUGGGUCAAUAAGGUCCACACCAAAUUUCCUAGCUACUUCUAGUCAUUGUGGGUCAAUAGCAGACUUUAUUUAACUUUUUCUGUGUGAUCAAAAUUUUCAAAAGAUUGGCGAUAUGUUUGGUUUUAUUAACAUAAUGCUGUAAAACACUCCUCCAUUCCUGACCUUCUAUUCCAAGAUAGCACACCACUGUUAAACUGACCAUGGUGACCUUUUUCCCUUUUCAAAUAUAUUUUCUGAUUGCAAGUCAGCAGUAUAUAUAUUCAGUUCUAACACUCCUCCAUU